RNAcentral lists this ribosomal RNA (253 nucleotides) under uncultured bacterium. RNAcentral's name for it is "partial 16S ribosomal RNA". It matches the Rfam family "Bacterial small subunit ribosomal RNA", at positions 524 to 776 of the family's 1533-position model. The record is from RNAcentral.
UACGUAGGGGGCUAGCGUUGUCCGGAAUCAUUGGGCGUAAAGCGCGUGUAGGCGGUCCGGUAAGUCCGCUGUGAAAGUCGGGGGCUCAACCCUCGAAUGCCGGUGGAUACUGUCGGGCUAGAGUGCGGAAGAGGCGAGUGGAAUUCCUGGUGUAGCGGUGAAAUGCGUAGAGAUCAGGAGGAACACCCAUGGCGAAGGCAGCUCUCUGGCUUCACCCUGACGCUGAGGCGCGAAAGCGUGGGGAGCGAACGGG